Molecule: transfer RNA, 76 nt
Filed under: Clostridiaceae bacterium
Lineage: Bacteria; Bacillati; Bacillota; Clostridia; Eubacteriales; Clostridiaceae
Description: tRNA-Thr
Rfam family: tRNA
About the family: Transfer RNA (tRNA) molecules are approximately 80 nucleotides in length.
Source: RNAcentral
GCCUUUAUAGCUCAGUUGGUAGAGCGCAUCCAUGGUAAGGAUGAGGUCAUCGGUUCGAUUCUGAUUAAAGGCUCCA